AGAGUUUCCUUCUGGCUCAGAUUGAACGCUGGCGGAAUGCUUUACACAUGCAAGUCGAACGAUGAACCUUAGCUUGCUAAGGGGAUUAGUGGCGAACGGGUGAGUAAUAUAUCGGAACGUGCCUUGUAAUGGGGGAUAACUAGUCGAAAGAUUAGCUAAUACCGCAUACGCCCUGAGGGGGAAAGUAGGGGAUCUUCGGACCUUACGUUAUAAGAGCGGCCGAUAUCUGAUUAGCUAGUUGGUGGGGUAAUGGCCUACCAAGGCGACGAUCAGUAGCUGGUCUGAGAGGACGACCAGCCACACUGGAACUGAGACACGGUCCAGACUCCUACGGGAGGCAGCAGUGGGGAAUUUUGGACAAUGGGCGCAAGCCUGAUCCAGCCAUUCCGCGUGAGUGAAGAAGGCCUUCGGGUUGUAAAGCUCUUUCGCAAGGGAAGAAAACUUACUUUCUAAUAAAGAGUGAGGCUGACGGUACCUUGAUAAGAAGCACCGGCUAACUACGUGCCAGCAGCCGCGGUAAUACGUAGGGUGCGAGCGUUAAUCGGAAUUACUGGGCGUAAAGCGUGCGCAGGCGGUUUGGCAAGUCAGAUGUGAAAUCCCCGAGCUCAACUUGGGAACUGCGUUUGAAACUGCCAGACUAGAAUAUGUCAGAGGGGGGUAGAAUUCCACGUGUAGCAGUGAAAUGCGUAGAGAUGUGGAGGAAUACCAAUGGCGAAGGCAGCCCCCUGGGAUAAUAUUGACGCUCAUGCACGAAAGCGUGGGGAGCAAACAGAAUUAGAUACCCUGGUAGUCCACGCCCUAA
This 802-nucleotide ribosomal RNA is filed under the name uncultured bacterium. Its description in RNAcentral is "bacterial SSU rRNA". It matches the Rfam family "Bacterial small subunit ribosomal RNA", at positions 8 to 805 of the family's 1533-position model. The record is from RNAcentral.